GACGAACGCUGGCGGCGUGCUUAACACAUGCAAGUCGAACGGAAAGGCCCUGCUUUUGUGGGGUGCUCGAGUGGCGAACGGGUGAGUAACACGUGAGUAACCUGCCCUUGACUUUGGGAUAACUUCAGGAAACUGGGGCUAAUACCGGAUAGGAGCUCCUGCUGCAUGGUGGGGGUUGGAAAGUUUCGGCGGUUGGGGAUGGACUCGCGGCUUAUCAGCUUGUUGGUGGGGUAGUGGCUGACCAAGGCUUUGACGGGUAGCCGGCCCGAGAGGGUGGCCGGCCACCAUGGGACUGCGAUACGCACCAGAGUCCUACGGGAGGCAGCAGUGGGGAAUCUUGCCCAAUGGGCGGACGCCUGAUGCAGCAACGCCGCGGGCGGGAUGCCGGCCUUCGGGUUGUAAACCGCUUUCGCCUGUGACGAAGCGUGAGUGACGGUAAUGGGUAAAGAAGCACCGGCUAACUACGUG
Molecule: ribosomal RNA, 468 nt
Filed under: uncultured bacterium
Lineage: Bacteria
Description: partial 16S ribosomal RNA
Rfam family: Bacterial small subunit ribosomal RNA
Source: RNAcentral